AGCCUCAUUUCGAUUGUUAAUGGGCACAGUUGAUCAUGGUGUCCAGAACUGCUAAUGUGGCUAGAUUGAGACACAGGUUAUGCUUCCAUCACAGUAAAUUUAUUGCAGUGGUGACAAUGAGACCUGUAACAAGU
Small nucleolar RNA from Choloepus hoffmanni (Hoffmann's two-fingered sloth), 134 nucleotides. Lineage: Eukaryota; Metazoa; Chordata; Mammalia; Pilosa; Megalonychidae. The record is from Ensembl.